RNAcentral lists this ribosomal RNA (269 nucleotides) under uncultured bacterium. RNAcentral's name for it is "partial 16S ribosomal RNA". It matches the Rfam family "Bacterial small subunit ribosomal RNA", at positions 30 to 296 of the family's 1533-position model. The record is from RNAcentral.
AUUGAACGCUGGCGGCAUGCCUUACACAUGCAAGUCGAACGGCAAGCACGGGGGCAACCCUGGUGGGCGAGUGGCGAACGGGGUGAGUAAUACAUCGGAACGUGCCCGGUAGUGGGGGAUAGCUCGGCGAAAGCCGGAUUAAUACCGCAUACGACCCACGGGUGAAAGCCGGGGGAUCGCAAGACCUUGCGCUAGCGGAGCGGCCGAUGUCAGAUUAGGUUGUUGGUGGGUAAAGGCCUACCAAGCCGACGAUCUGUAGCUGGUCUGGA